CCUACGGGUUGCAGCAGUGGGGAAUAUUGGACAAUGGGCGAAAGCCUGAUCCAGCAAUGCCGCGUGUGUGAAGAAGGUCUUCGGAUUGUAAAGCACUUUCGACGGGGACGAUGAUGACGGUACCCGUAGAAGAAGCCCCGGCUAACUUCGUGCCAGCAGCCGCGGUAAUACGAAGGGGGCUAGCGUUGCUCGGAAUGACUGGGCGUAAAGGGCGCGUAGGCGGUUUAUGCAGUCAGAUGUGAAAUCCCCGGGCUUAACCUGGGAACUGCAUUUGAGACGCAUAGACUAGAGGUCGAGAGAGGGUUGUGGAAUUCCCAGUGUAGAGGUGAAAUUCGUAGAUAUUGGGAAGAACACCGGUGGCGAAGGCGGCUUACUGGUCUGCAACUGACGCUGAGGCGCGAAAGCGUGGGGAGCAAACAGGAUUAGAUACCCCCGUAGUC
This 440-nucleotide ribosomal RNA is filed under the name uncultured bacterium. RNAcentral's name for it is "bacterial SSU rRNA". It matches the Rfam family "Bacterial small subunit ribosomal RNA", at positions 338 to 795 of the family's 1533-position model. The record is from RNAcentral.